This 449-nucleotide ribosomal RNA is filed under the name uncultured bacterium. RNAcentral describes it as "partial 16S ribosomal RNA". It matches the Rfam family "Bacterial small subunit ribosomal RNA", at positions 29 to 523 of the family's 1533-position model. The record is from RNAcentral.
AACGAACGCUGGCGGCAUGCCUAACACAUGCAAGUCGAACGAUGCUUUCGGGCAUAGUGGCGCACGGGUGCGUAACGCGUGGGAAUCUGCCCUUCGGUUGGGAAUAACUGAGAGAAAUUUCAGCUAAUACCUUAUAAUGUCUUCGGACCAAAGAUUUAUCGCCGAGGGAUGAGCCCGCGUAGGAUUAGGUAGUUGGUGGGGUAAUGGCCUACCAAGCCGACGAUCCUUAGCUGGUCUGAGAGGAUGAUCAGCCACACUGGGACUGAGACACGGCCCAGACUCCUACGGGAGGCAGCAGUGGGGAAUAUUGGACAAUGGGCGCAAGCCCGAUCCAGCAAUGCCGCGUGAGUGAUGAAGGCCUUAGGGUUGUAAAGCUCUUUUACCAGGGAUGAUAAUGACAGUACCUGGAGAAUAAGCUCCGGCUAACUCCGUGCCAGCCGCCGCGGUAA